AGCGAACGCUGGCGGCGUGCUUAACACAUGCAAGUCGAACGUGAAAUGUAGCAAUACAGAGUAAAGUGGCGUACGGGUGAGUAACACGUGGGUAAUCUACCAAAGUGCCUGGAAUAACCGGCCGAAAGGCUGGCUAAUACUAGAUAGUUCAAGCCAUCUGUAAGGGAUGGAUUGGGAAAGGGAGCGGGUAACCGCCUUCACAUUUUGAUGAGCCCGCGUCUGAUUAGGUAGUUGGUGAGGUAAUGGCUCACCAAGCCUGAGAUCAGUAGCUGGUCUGAGAGGAUGAUCAGCCACACUGGAACUGAAACACGGUCCAGACUCCUACGGGAGGCAGCAGUGGGGAAUCUUGCGCAAUGGACGAAAGUCUGACGCAGCCACGCCGCGUGAGUGAAGAAG
This 396-nucleotide ribosomal RNA is filed under the name uncultured bacterium. Its description in RNAcentral is "bacterial SSU rRNA". It matches the Rfam family "Bacterial small subunit ribosomal RNA", at positions 29 to 413 of the family's 1533-position model. The record is from RNAcentral.